CUGGUGCCAGCAGCCGCGGUAAUUCCAGCUCUAAUAGCGUAUAUUAAAGUUGUUGCAGUUAAAAAGCUCGUAGUUGGAUUUCGGCGUGCGCUCAGGCUGGUCGGCCGUCAAGGUCUGUACCGUUUGGGUCACGCCCCACUGUAGGAUACUCACCGCUGUCCUUAACUGGGUGGCGGUCAAAGGGGGUGUGCAUGGGGGCAACUCUGUGCAUAUCUCUGGGGUUCCUACUCUUUUACUUUGAGCAAAUUAGAGUGUUCAAAGCAGGCAAUCGAGCCUUGAAUACUUCAGCAUGGGAUAAUGGAACAGGACUGGGGUCCUGAUUUCGUUGGUUUCUGGGAUCUCAGUAAUGAUUAAUAGGGAUAGUUGGGGGCAUUAGUAUUUAAUUGUCAGAGGUGAAAUUCUUGGAUUUAUGAAAGACUAACUUCUGCGAAAGCAUUUGCCAAGGAUGUUUUCAUUAAUCAAGAACGAAAGUUAGGGGAUCGAAGACGAUCAGAUACCGUCGUAGUCUUAACCAUAAACGAUGCCGACCAGCGAUUGGGAGACGUUACAUGGAUGACUCCCCCAGCAGCUUGCGAGAAAUCACAAGUCUUUGGGUUCCGGGGGGAGUAUGGUCGCAAGGCUGAAACUUAAAGGAAUUGACGGAAGGGCACCACCAGGAGUGGAGCCUGCGGCUUAAUUUGACCCAACACGGGGAAACUUACCAGGUCCAGACAUAGUAAGGAUUGACAGAUUUGAGAGCUCUUUCUUGAUUCUAUGGGUGGUGGUGCAUGGCCGUUCUUAGUUGGUGGAGUGAUUUGUCUGGUUAAUUCCGUUAACGAGCGAGACCUUAACCUGCUAAAUAUGUCACUGGUAGACUUCUGCCAAAACAGGUGGGUGUCUAGGGGAAAGUUUCGAUGGACUCCGACGCAUUCAUCUGUGGAUGACUACCAGGAUGUACUUCUUAGAGGGACUAUCUGUAUCAAAGCAGAUGGAAGUUUGAGGCAAUAACAGGUCUGUGAUGCCCUUAGAUGUUCUGGGCCGCACGCGCGCUACACUGACAAGUUCAACGAGUUUAACACCUUGCUCGAUAGGGCUGGGUAAUCUUUGAAAAACUUGUCGUGAUGGGGAUAGAUCAUUGUAAUUAUUGGUCUUCAACGAGGAAUUCCUAGUAAGCGUGAGUCAUCAGCUCGCGUUGAUUACGUCCCUGCCCUUUGUACACACCGCCCGUCGCUCCUACCGAUUGAAUGAUCCGGUGAAAUGUUGGGAGCUGGGGUCUUUUGGCGGCGGGGCAACUCGUCGUCAGGGAUUCUGCAAACUUCAUUAAACCUUAUCAUUUAGA
RNAcentral lists this ribosomal RNA (1318 nucleotides) under metagenome. RNAcentral describes it as "SSU rRNA". It matches the Rfam family "Eukaryotic small subunit ribosomal RNA", at positions 561 to 1777 of the family's 1831-position model. The record is from RNAcentral.